Molecule: ribosomal RNA, 253 nt
Filed under: uncultured bacterium
Lineage: Bacteria
Description: partial 16S ribosomal RNA
Rfam family: Bacterial small subunit ribosomal RNA
Source: RNAcentral
UACGUAGGGUGCAAGCGUUGUCCGGAAUUAUUGGGCGUAAAGAGCUCGUAGGCGGUUUGUCGCGUCGGCUGUGAAAGCCCGGAGCUCAACUCCGGGUCUGCAGUCGAUACGGGCAGACUUGAGUGUUGCAGGGGAGACUGGAAUUCCUGGUGUAGCGGUGAAAUGCGCAGAUAUCGGGAGGAACACCGGUGGCGAAGGCGGUUCUCUGGGCCUGUACUGACGCUGAGGAGCGAAAGCGUGGGGAGCGAACAGG